Molecule: ribosomal RNA, 403 nt
Filed under: uncultured bacterium
Lineage: Bacteria
Description: partial 16S ribosomal RNA
Rfam family: Bacterial small subunit ribosomal RNA
Source: RNAcentral
GACGAACGCUGGCGGCGUGCCUAAUACAUGCAAGUCGAACGCAGUGGGGACGGGUGAGUAACCCGUGGGUAACCUCCCAUCAGAGGGGAUAACACUUGGAAACAGGUGCUAAACCGAUACUGAUGGAUGGACACGCGGUGCAUUAGCUAGUUGGUGAGGUAACGGCUCAACAAGUCAACGAUGCAUAGAUGGCCUGAGAGGGUGAUCGGCCACACGGGGACUGAGACACGGCCCAGACUCCUACGGGAGGCAGCAGUAGGGAAUCUUCGGCAAUGGACGAAAGUCUGACCGAGCAACGCCGCGUGAGUGAAGAAGGUUUUCGGAGCGUAAAACUCUUUUGUUAGAGAAGCGGUAUCUAACCAGAAAGCCACGGCUAACUACGUGCCAGCCGCCGCGGUAAUUC